ACUCCUACGGGGAGGCAGCAGUAGGGAAUCUUCCACAAUGGACGAAAGUCUGAUGGAGCAACGCCGCGUGAACGAUGAAGGCCUUCGGGUCGUAAAGUUCUGUUGUAAGGGAAGAACAAGUGCCGCAGGCAAUGGCGGCACCUUGACGGUACCUUGCGAGAAAGCCACGGCUAACUACGUGCCAGCAGCCGCGGUAAUACGUAGGUGGCAAGCGUUGUCCGGAAUUAUUGGGCGUAAAGCGCGCGCAGGCGGCCUCUUAAGUCUGAUGUGAAAGCCCCCCGGGCUCAACCGGGGAGGGCCAUUGGAAACUGGGAGGCUUGAGUAUAGGAGAGAAGAGUGGAAUUCCACGUGUAGCGGUGAAAUGCGUAGAGAUGUGGAGGAACACCGAGUGGCGAAGGCGACUCUUUGGCCUAUAACUGACGCUGAGGCGCGAAAGCGUGGGAGCAAACAGGAUUAGAUACCCCUGGUAGG
This 471-nucleotide ribosomal RNA is filed under the name uncultured bacterium. Its description in RNAcentral is "bacterial SSU rRNA". It matches the Rfam family "Bacterial small subunit ribosomal RNA", at positions 335 to 794 of the family's 1533-position model. The record is from RNAcentral.